Molecule: ribosomal RNA, 253 nt
Filed under: uncultured bacterium
Lineage: Bacteria
Description: partial 16S ribosomal RNA
Rfam family: Bacterial small subunit ribosomal RNA
Source: RNAcentral
UACGUAGGGCGCAAGCGUUGUCCGGAAUUAUUGGGCGUAAAGAGCGCGUAGGCGGCCUGUUGCGUCCGCUGUGAAAUCCCGGGGCUCAACCCCGGGCCUGCAGUGGAUACGGGCUGGCUAGAGGCAGGCAGGGGAGAACGGAAUUCCUGGUGUAGCGGUGAAAUGCGCAGAUAUCAGGAGGAACACCGGUGGCGAAGGCGGUUCUCUGGGCCUGUACUGACGCUGAGGAGCGAAAGCGUGGGGAGCGAACAGG